Molecule: non-coding RNA, 77 nt
Organism: Aedes albopictus (Asian tiger mosquito)
Lineage: Eukaryota; Metazoa; Arthropoda; Insecta; Diptera; Culicidae
Source: Rfam
UAUUCUAUGGCGAAGUUGGUAAACGUAUCCUGUCUGGCAAAUUGACGGAGAUGUGGGUUCAAAUCCCACCAGAACAA